This 301-nucleotide ribosomal RNA is filed under the name uncultured bacterium. Its description in RNAcentral is "partial 16S ribosomal RNA". It matches the Rfam family "Bacterial small subunit ribosomal RNA", at positions 509 to 809 of the family's 1533-position model. The record is from RNAcentral.
CAGUCGCCGCGGUAAUACGAAGGGGGCUAGCGUUGCUCGGAAUCACUGGGCGUAAAGGGUGCGUAGGCGGGUCUUUAAGUCAGGGGUGAAAUCCCAGAGCUCAACUCUGGAACUGCCUUUGAUACUGGGUAUCUUGAGUAUGGAAGAGGUGAGUGGAAUUCCGAGUGUAGAGGUGAAAUUCGUAGAUAUUCGGAGGAACACCAGUGGCGAAGGCGGCUCACUGGUCCAUUACUGACGCUGAGGUGCGAAAGCGUGGGGAGCAAACAGGAUUAGAUACCCGAGUAGUCCCUGUCUCUUAUAA